AAAAGUAUAUUUCUAACACUGUGUAGGUGUCAAUAAAUGGCAUCCAUUACUACAUUCCUAUUGCUGCUAUUAUUAUUGCUUUAAUUAUUAUUGUCAUCCUUGGAACCCAGUUACCAAUCUUUCCGGCUCCCUUUGGUGACCUGUUCACCCUGCCUCCAGUGAUGUGUAAUGCCACAUAUCUACCAAGCCACCUCCAACCAUUUCUGGGUAAUGCCUGUCUGCCUGGGCAAUCUUGCAGUCUCGUUUUUCAUUUUCAGAAUUCUGUUGGGUGUUCUUGGCCCUUUACACUUCCACAGGAAUUUGAUUAUCCUUUCGCCUGG
This 320-nucleotide long non-coding RNA is filed under the name Homo sapiens (human). Its description in RNAcentral is "non-protein coding lnc-ABR-4:1". The record is from RNAcentral. Lineage: Eukaryota; Metazoa; Chordata; Mammalia; Primates; Hominidae.